AAAUCUAUAGGAUUGUAUUAAUAUUGAAUAAAGCUUUGUUUAUAUAUCGAUAAUGACGGUAUAUAUAUCGUGUCUUGACCAAUUACGUGCCAGCAGUCGCGGUAAUACGUAAGAGACUAGUGUUAUUCAUCUUAAUUAGGUUUAAAGGGUACUUAGACGGUCAAUAUAACUUCUAAAAUGUUAUUACUUGACUAGAGUUUUAUGUAAGAAGGCAGUACUUGAGGUGGAGAGAUAAAAUUCAAUGAUACCAAAGGGACUCGGUAAAGGCGAAGGCAGCCUUCUAUGUAAUAACUGACGUUGAAGGACGAAGGCUCAGAUCACAAAAAGGAAUAGUAUCCCUAGUAGUCUUUGCAGUAAAUGAUGAAUGCCAUAGGUUAGGUUAAAGAUUUAAUUAGUUUAUUCCUCAGUAAAGAAUAAACGGUUAAACGAAAUUUAGUCUAUAAAUGAAAGUGUAAGCAUUUCACCUCAAGAGUAAUGUGGCAACGCUGGAACUGAAAUCAC
This 501-nucleotide ribosomal RNA is filed under the name Simplicillium lamellicola. RNAcentral's name for it is "SSU rRNA". It matches the Rfam family "Bacterial small subunit ribosomal RNA", at positions 412 to 909 of the family's 1533-position model. The record is from RNAcentral. Lineage: Eukaryota; Fungi; Ascomycota; Sordariomycetes; Hypocreales; Cordycipitaceae.